Molecule: unclassified non-coding RNA, 227 nt
Filed under: Hevea brasiliensis (rubber tree)
Lineage: Eukaryota; Viridiplantae; Streptophyta; Magnoliopsida; Malpighiales; Euphorbiaceae
Source: RNAcentral
UGGCAAGAAGACUGAUAAUGAUUUCUAUAAAAAGAUAGUGGAUGCUUAUGAAGUGAAAAAUCAAGAAUUGAUGUCAGAGAAUGCUGAUUUGAAGGCAUUAUUGCGAUCAAUGCAGGUUGAUAUGCGGGAUUUCCUAAAUGCUCCAAAUGGACUACCUAAGCAACCCCUCGCAGUUAAUGAAAGAGUUGAAAGUGAAGGUGCACAGUCUCCAUUUGGUGGGAGGACGG